GUGGGGAAUCUUGCGCAAUGGGCGAAAGCCUGACGCAGCCAUGCCGCGUGCAUGAUGACGGUCUUAGGAUUGUAAAAUUCUUUCACCGGGGACGAUAAUGACGGUACCCGGAGAAGAAGCUCCGGCUAACUUCGUGCCAGCAGCCGCGGUAAUACGAAGGGGGCUAGCGUUGCUCGGAAUUACUGGGCGUAAAGGGCGCGUAGGCGGACAGCUUAGUCAGAGGUGAAAGCCCAGGGCUCAACCUUGGAAUUGCCUUUGAUACUGGCUGUCUUGAGUUUGGGAGAGGUGAGUGGAACUCCGAGUGUAGAGGUGAAAUUCGUAGAUAUUCGGAAGAACACCAGUGGCGAAGGCGACUCACUGGCCCAAUACUGACGCUGAGGCGCGAAAGCGUGGGGAGCAAACAGGAUUAGAAACCCUAGUAGUCC
RNAcentral lists this ribosomal RNA (425 nucleotides) under uncultured bacterium. RNAcentral describes it as "partial 16S ribosomal RNA". It matches the Rfam family "Bacterial small subunit ribosomal RNA", at positions 354 to 796 of the family's 1533-position model. The record is from RNAcentral.